GAUGAACGCUGGCGGCGUGCUUAACACAUGCAAGUCGAACGGGAAACCUUUUAAAGAAGCUUCGGCAGAUUUAGCUGGUUUCUAGUGGCGGACGGGUGAGUAACGCGUGGGUAACCUGCCUUGUACAGGGGGAUAACAGUCAGAAAUGACUGCUAAUACCGCAUAAGCGCACAGGACCGCAUGGUCCGGUGUGAAAAACUCCGGUGGUAUAAGAUGGACCCGCGUUGGAUUAGCUAGUUGGUGGGGUAACGGCCUACCAAGGCGACGAUCCAUAGCCGGCCUGAGAGGGUGAACGGCCACAUUGGGACUGAGACACGGCCCAGACUCCUACGGGAGGCAGCAGUGGGGAAUAUUGCACAAUGGGGGAAACCCUGAUGCAGCGACGCCGCGUGAAGGAAGAAGUAUCUCGGUAUGUAAACUUCUAUCAGCAGGGAAGAAUUAGGACGGUAC
RNAcentral lists this ribosomal RNA (450 nucleotides) under uncultured bacterium. Its description in RNAcentral is "bacterial SSU rRNA". It matches the Rfam family "Bacterial small subunit ribosomal RNA", at positions 28 to 478 of the family's 1533-position model. The record is from RNAcentral.